UUCCAAUCGAACCCGGAGAUAGCUGGUUCUCCUCGAAAUAGCUUUAGGGCUAGCCUCGUAUUAGUUUAGCGGAGGUAGAGCACUGAAUUCCUAAGGGGGCGUCAAAGCUUACCAAGGGAUAUCAAACUCCGAAUGCCGCAUAAAUGAUGUACGGGAGUCAGACUGCACGAGAUAAGUUGGGCAGUCAAAAGGGAAAGAGCCCAGACCUACAGCUAAGGUCCCAAAGUGUGUGUUAAGUGGAAAAGGAUGUGGGAUUUCGAAGACAACUAGGAUGUUGGCUCAGAAGCAGCCACACAUUAAAAGAGUGCGUAAUAGCUCACUAGUCGAGAGGUCCUGCGCCGAAAAUGUCCGGGGCUGAAACACAACACCGAAGCUUAGGAAUGUAGUAAUACAUUGGUAGAGGAGCAUUCUUAAAGGAAUGAAGCAGUACCGAUAAGGAGCUGUGGACUUUUAAGAAGAGAGAAUGCCGGAAUGAGUAGCGAGAUGGAGGUGGGAAUCCUCCAGGCCGAAUAUCUAAGGUUUCCAGAGUAAAGCUGAUCUGCUCUGGGUAAGUCGGGGCCUAAGGAGAGGUCGAAAGACGUAUCCGAUGGACAACAGGUUUAGAUUCCUGUACCACAUAUAAACAGAACUGUGGGGACGCAUGUGGAAAGCAUAAGCCGGGAAUGGAAAUACCGGUACAAACGGAAGAGGUGUCAGGCUGGCAAAUCCGCCUGGCAAGCCAAAGACGUGAUGUGGAGCGAAAUAAAAGUAGCGAAGUAUGUGAGCCAUGUGCCGAGAAAAGCCGCUAUUGUUUUAUAUGUGCCCGUACCGUAAACCGACACAGGUGGAUGAGGAGAGAAUCCUAAGGCCGACGGAAGAAGCAUUGUUAAGGAACUCGGCAAAAUGACCCCGUAACUUCGGGAGAAGGGGUGCCCACUUCAGGGUGGGCCGCAGAGAAUAGGCUCAAGCAACUGUUUAGCAAAAACACAGGUCUAUGCGAAACCGUAAGGUGAAGUAUAUGGGCUGACGCCUGCCCGGUGCUGGAAGGUUAAGAGGAGAGGUUAGUCGCAAGAUGAAGCUUUGAAUUUAAGCCCCAGUAAACGGCGGCCGUAACUAUAACGGUCCUAAGGUAGCGAAAUUCCUUGUCGGGUAAGUUCCGACCCGCACGAAAGGCGUAAUGAUUUGAGCACUGUCUCGACAAUGCAUCCGGUGAAAUUGAAGUACCAGUGAAGAUGCUGGUUACCCGCGCCAGGACGGAAAGACCCCAUGGAGCUUUACUCCAGUUUGGUACUGGGAUUCGGUACUGCAUGUACAGGAUAGGUGGGAGACUGAGAAAUUGGAACGCCAGUUUCAAUGGAGUCACUGUUGGGAUACCACCCCUGCAGUAUUGGGUUUCUAACCAGCCGCUGUGAUCCAGCGGUGGGACAAUGCCAGGCGGGGAGUUUGACUGGGGCGGUCGCCUCCGAAAGGGUAUCGGAGGCGCUCAAAGGUUCCCUCAGAAUGGUUGGAAACCAUUCGAAGAGUGCAAAGGCAGAAGGGAGCUUGACUGCGACACCGACGGGUGGAGCAGGUACGAAAGUAGGACUUAGUGAUCCGGUGGCAUAAAGUGGGAUUGCCAUCGCUCAACGGAUAAAAGCUACCCUGGGGAUAACAGGCUU
RNAcentral lists this ribosomal RNA (1637 nucleotides) under human gut metagenome. RNAcentral describes it as "bacterial LSU rRNA". It matches the Rfam family "Bacterial large subunit ribosomal RNA", at positions 827 to 2484 of the family's 2925-position model. The record is from RNAcentral.